Molecule: ribosomal RNA, 397 nt
Filed under: uncultured Actinomycetes bacterium
Lineage: Bacteria; Bacillati; Actinomycetota; Actinomycetes
Description: bacterial SSU rRNA
Rfam family: Bacterial small subunit ribosomal RNA
Source: RNAcentral
CAAGGCUUGACAUAUACCGAAAAGCGGCAGAGAUGUCGUGUCCGCAAGGGCGCUAUACAGGUGGUGCAUGGUUGUCGUCAGCUCGUGUCGUGAGAUGUUGGGUUAAGUCCCGCAACGAGCGCAACCCUCGUUCUGUGUUGCCAGCAUUUAGUUGGGGACUCACAGGAGACUGCCGUGGUUAACACGGAGGAAGGUGGGGAUGACGUCAAAUCAUCAUGCCCCUUAUGUCUUGGGCUGCACGCAUGCUACAAUGGCCGAUACAAAGGGCUGCAAUACCGUAAGGUGGAGCGAAUCCCAUAAAGUCGGUCUCAGUUCGGAUUGAGGUCUGCAACUCGACCUCAUGAAGUCGGAGUUGCUAGUAAUCGUAGAUCAGCAACGCUACGGUGAAUACGUUCCC